GAUGAACGCUGGCGGCGUGCCUAAUACAUGCAAGUCGAGCGAACGGACGAGAAGCUUGCUUCUCUGAUGUUAGCGGCGGACGGGUGAGUAACACGUGGAUAACCUACCUAUAAGACUGGGAUAACUUCGGGAAACCGGAGCUAAUACCGGAUAAUAUUUUGAACCGCAUGGUUCAAAAGUGAAAGGCGGUCUUGCUGUCACUUAUAGAUGGAUCCGCGCUGCAUUAGCUAGUUGGUAAGGUAACGGCUUACCAAGGCAACGAUGCAUAGCCGACCUGAGAGGGUGAUCGGCCACACUAGAACUGAGACACGGUCCAGACUCCUACGGGAGGCAGCAGUAGGGAAUCUUCCGCAAUGGGCGAAAGCCUGACGGAGCAACGCCGCGUGAGUGAUGAAGGUCUUCGGAUCGUAAAACUCUGUUAUUAGGGAAGAACAUAUGUGUAAGUAACUGUGCACAUCUUGACGGUACCUAAUCAGAAAGCCACGGCUAACUACGUG
Molecule: ribosomal RNA, 497 nt
Filed under: uncultured bacterium
Lineage: Bacteria
Description: partial 16S ribosomal RNA
Rfam family: Bacterial small subunit ribosomal RNA
Source: RNAcentral